RNAcentral lists this ribosomal RNA (253 nucleotides) under uncultured bacterium. RNAcentral's name for it is "partial 16S ribosomal RNA". It matches the Rfam family "Bacterial small subunit ribosomal RNA", at positions 524 to 776 of the family's 1533-position model. The record is from RNAcentral.
UACAGAGGGGGCAAGCGUUGUUCGGAAUUACUGGGCGUAAAGGGCGCGUAGGCGGCCUGCUAAGUCGAACGUGAAAUCCCCGAGCUCAACUCGGGAACUGCGUCCGAUACUGGCAGGCUUGAAUCCGGGAGAGGGAUGUGGAAUUCCAGGUGUAGCGGUGAAAUGCGUAGAUAUCUGGAGGAACACCGGUGGCGAAGGCGGCAUCCUGGACCGGUAUUGACGCUGAUGCGCGAAAGCCAGGGGAGCAAACGGG